AGUGCCAGUCUUCUCCUCGUAGUGAAGGCGGCAUCAAUUUCUGAAUUAAUUACCAUUUGUCGCGAAACUGCGCGUCCUCUAUCUUUUCUAGACCUAAAUCUCAAAUCUUAUCCCUGCUUGUGUUAAAUAGUGUUCUAAAUGGCUUCAGAUGAUGAAGUAGACGGUUCAUUUGCAGGCGACGAGGACGUGGAGGAAGGUGAAGGUCAGAAUGAAAAUUCUGGGGAAAGUGAUGAAGCACCACCUAAGGAGGAUGAUGACUACUCCCCAGAAGAUGGCAAAAAGAAGAAGAAAGGG
This is a long non-coding RNA of Leguminivora glycinivorella, 294 nucleotides long. RefSeq lists it as uncharacterized. The record is from RefSeq and is a predicted model, not a curated record. NCBI's taxonomy places the organism in Eukaryota, Metazoa, Arthropoda, Insecta, Lepidoptera, Tortricidae. The transcript has 3 exons.